Molecule: small nuclear RNA, 289 nt
Filed under: Moschus moschiferus (Siberian musk deer)
Lineage: Eukaryota; Metazoa; Chordata; Mammalia; Artiodactyla; Moschidae
Description: U2 spliceosomal RNA (ENSMMSG00000015932.1)
Rfam family: U2 spliceosomal RNA
About the family: U2 is a small nuclear RNA (snRNA) component of the spliceosome (involved in pre-mRNA splicing). Complementary binding between U2 snRNA (in an area lying towards the 5' end but 3' to hairpin I) and the branchpoint sequence (BPS) of the intron results the bulging out of an unpaired adenosine, on the BPS, which initiates a nucleophilic attack at the intronic 5' splice site, thus starting the first of two transesterification reactions that mediate splicing.
Source: Rfam by way of RNAcentral
AUCGCUUCUUGGCCUUUUGGCUAAGAUCAAGUGUGGUAUCUGUUCUUAUCAGUUUACUAUCUGAUAAACUCUGGGAGUUGGUGAUGGACAGGGAGGACUGGUGUGUUGCAGUCCAUGGAUUCACGAAGAGUCGGUCAUGACUGAGUGAAUGAACUGAACUGAGCCGAACUGAAUGUCCUCUAUCUGAGAACAACAUAUUAAACAGAUUUUUGGAGCAGGAGGUUGGAAUAGAGGCUUGCUCAGACAAAUAGUUUACUGUGUAGACUCUUCUUGGUCCACUGGAGAAUUC